CAUUAUUUCCGGACGGCGCCGAUACUCUAAGACUUCAAAACUUUGUUGGGAAAAAUAGAAACUUGCAAGAAAAACCCAUGCAGAAGCUGAAAACGGUUUUCUCAAUGGCAAGCCGUGGAGACCCGGUCUUUGGUGCUCCUUUUCUUGAACAAACCAGUGAAAUGGGCCUAUUGGUUAUGCGUGCUUAGCAAAGACCAUCACUUGCGGUGGAGAUAUUUGAGGGCUGCCGUGCUCGGGAACUGCCGUGUCACACUUCACAAAAGGUUGUCCAAGGUAUGGGCAGAUGUUGUGAGCAAGAAUCUGCAAACAGAACCUCUAGGGUGCUGUCAACGGUGUGUUUAUGCAAAUCUGACGUGGAGUCUAUUUAAUCUCAGCUACUACGGGGUGUGACAGAAGCCCCGGAAUUUCAGGCACUCCUCCCUGGGCACGACUAACGUGCAUUCUUUGUCCCAUUCCCACCUGGACUCUUCACGUCUACUGGCUCGGCUGCCCGCAUCCCAGACUGGGGUGGAGGGCUCUUCCCCAUGCAGAGCUCAGCUUUCUGAGGCAUGCCAUGCAGUGAUCCCUUGGGGGCCUCGCCCUGCACCCAGGGACCACCAUGGUGCCCAAGCUGGCAGCCCCGGAUGCCGUCACGAGUAGCAGCUGUCAUUGUUAAAGAAGCAGCAACAAGAGGAUUGUUGAUCUCAAAAGCAGUACGAACCAACACUUAAUAACAGAAGCAUGUUUUUAAGUUCCCUUCGUAUAUUAUCUCACGUAAUUACCACAGUGACUCCAUCAGGUAGGUCCUUUUAGAGCAAUUCCCCUUAUCCACGGGGGAUGUACAAUCAGAGACUCCCAGUGGACGUCUGAAAGUGUGGAUAGUACUGAACCCUCUCUAUACUAUGGUUUUGCCUUUACAUACAUACCUAUGAAAAAGUUGAGUUACUUUUUAAAUUUUUUAAUGUUUAUUUAUUUAUUUUGAGGGGUGGGGCAGAGAGAGAGGGAGAGAGAAUCCCAAGCAGGCUCCACGCUGUCAGCACAGAGCCCACCGCAGGGAUCGAUCUCAUGACUGCGAGAUCAUGAACUGAGCCGAAAUCAAGCAUCGGACACUUAACCAACUGAGCCACCCAGGCACCCUGAAAAAAUUUAGUUUUUAAAAUAGGCACAGUAAGAGAUUAACUACAAUAACUUAUGAUCAAAUAGAACAACUAUGCCAAUGUACUAUAAAAAAAGUGAUGUGAAUGUGGUCUCUCUCUCUCUCUCUCUCUCAAGAUAUCUUACUAUGCUGCACUCACCCUUCCUCUUGUGAUGAUGUGAGAUGAUAAAUGCCUGUGUGAUGAGAUGAAGCGAGGUGAAUGACGCGGGCCCUGUGACGUAGCAUUUUAGGCUACUAUUGAUCUCCUGACAUAUGUCAGAAAGAAGACCACCCAUUCCAGAGCGUGGUUGACCGCAGGUAACUGAAACCAUGGAAAGUGAAACCAAAAUCGUGGCUAAGGGAGGACUCCUGUGUAUCCUGAUUUCACGAAUGAGGAAAUAAGUCUUAGAGAAGCUAAUUAUCUUGAAGGUAAUAUGGCCAGAAAGGAGCAAAACUAUGAGUUGGAUCACAUUACUCUAUUACCUCCCAAUCUCAUUUGAAGACUAUGCAUCAUAUUUUAAAUAUGUGUUAGCUUUUUGAAAAGAAGUGUUGAACAUCCUCAGGUCCUGCAGAUUUCUGACUUGGUCCUAUGGAUUUUCUUGAUAGUCUUUGUCCUAUUAAUAAAAACUCUUCAUCAAUGUUGCCA
RNAcentral lists this long non-coding RNA (1760 nucleotides) under Felis catus (domestic cat). RNAcentral's name for it is "lncRNA (ENSFCAG00000050864.1)". Lineage: Eukaryota; Metazoa; Chordata; Mammalia; Carnivora; Felidae. The record is from RNAcentral.